Molecule: ribosomal RNA, 253 nt
Filed under: uncultured bacterium
Lineage: Bacteria
Also listed under: 1 other name
Description: partial 16S ribosomal RNA
Rfam family: Bacterial small subunit ribosomal RNA
Source: RNAcentral
UACGAGGGGGGCAAGCGUUGUUCGGAAUUAUUGGGCGUAAAGGGCGCGUAGGCGGUUUGGCAAGUUUCGUGUGAAAACUUCGGGCUCAACUCGAAGCCUGCACGGAAAACUGCCGGGCUUGAGUAUGGGAGAGGUGAGUGGAAUUUCCGGUGUAGCGGUGAAAUGCGUAGAUAUCGGAAGGAACACCUGUGGCGAAAGCGGCUCACUGGACCAUAACUGACGCUGAGGCGCGAAAGCUAGGGGAGCAAACAGG